Salarias fasciatus (jewelled blenny) is the source of this 101-nucleotide long non-coding RNA. RefSeq lists it as uncharacterized. The transcript is spliced from 3 exons. Lineage: Eukaryota; Metazoa; Chordata; Actinopteri; Blenniiformes; Blenniidae. The record is from RefSeq and is a predicted model, not a curated record.
CCACAAACUAAUAAAUUAACCAGAAUCUCCUGUUAACAACUGCAAAAUGCCAUUUUCUUCAUCACCUCACACGCCACUCAAAACAUGUGCGGCGUUAGGAG